This 775-nucleotide ribosomal RNA is filed under the name uncultured Neocallimastigales. Its description in RNAcentral is "partial large subunit ribosomal RNA". It matches the Rfam family "Eukaryotic large subunit ribosomal RNA", at positions 24 to 639 of the family's 3401-position model. Lineage: Eukaryota; Fungi; Neocallimastigomycota; Neocallimastigomycetes; Neocallimastigales. The record is from RNAcentral.
GUAGUCUCGCACAGAUGCAUAUCAAUAAGCGGAGGAAAAGAAACUAACAAGGAUUCCCCUAGUAACGGCGAGUGAAGCGGGAAGAGCUCAAAUUUGAAAUCUUAAAGGGUUUCCCUUUACGAAUUGUAGUUUAAAGAAGUGUUUUCUGUUGAGGUUUUGGUAAAAGUUCUUUGGAAUAGGACAUCAUAGAGGGUGAGAAUCCCGUAUUUGACCUUUACUUUCAACUUUGUGAUACACUUUCAAAGAGUCGGAUUGUUUGGGAAUGCAGUCCAAAAUGGGUGGUAAAUUUCAUCUAAAGCUAAAUAUUGGCGAGAGACCGAUAGCGAACAAGUACCGUGAGGGAAAGAUGAAAAGAACUUUGAAAAGAGAGUUAAACAGUACGUGAAAUUGUCAAAAGGGAAGCGUUUGACACCAGUGUUGUUUUUCUGAAAAUCAAUUAGAGAACUGUUUAUGCUAAGCUGUUUAGACUUUAUCAGCUAAUCUGUUUAGUUUUGAGCUUUUCUUUAAUGCACUUUUCAGUUAACAAGUCAACAUCAAUUUCUUUUGCUGUAAAAAAGCUUGAGGAAGGUGGCUUGAGAUUCGUCUUAAGUGUUUAUAGCCUCUUGCCUAUGCAGUCGGAGAGAUUGAGGUCUGCAGCGUAGAUCCUUCGGGGCUAAAUGCAUUUGUGCUAAGUUAUAGCAUUUUAUAGACAACUUGUUGACUAUGAUUUGUCUUGUAGCUUACUCGCUUAUGUUAUUUUACCUACGCUUAGGAUGUUGACGCGCGUGUGUGCGUG